CUGGUGGGAUACCGCCCUGACUGUAUUGAAAUUCUAACCUACGGGUCUUAUCGACCCGGGAGACAGUGUCAGGUGGGCAGUUUGACUGGGGCGGUCGCCUCCUAAAGUGUAACGGAGCGCCCAAAGGUUCCCUCAGAAUGGUUGGAAAUCAUUCGUAGAGUGCAAAGGCAUAAGGGAGCUUGACUGCGAGACCUACAAGUCGACAGGGACGAAAGUCGGGCUUAGUGAUCCGGUGGUUCCGCAUGGAAGGGCCAUCGCUCAACGGAUAAAAGCUACCCCGGGGAUAACAGGCUUAUCUCCCCCAAGAGUCCACAUCGACGGGGGUUUGGCACCUCGAUGUCGGCUCAUCGCAUCCUGGGGCUGUAGUCGGUCCCAAGGGUUGGGCUGUUCGCCCAUUAAAGCGGUACGCGAGCUGGGUUCAGAACGUCGUGAGACAGUUCGGUCCCUAUCCGUCGUGGGCGUAGGAAAUUUGAGAGGAGCUGUCCUUAGUACGAGAGGACCGGGAUGGACGCACCGCUGGUGUACCAGUUGUUCUGCCAAGGGCAUAGCUGGGUAGCUAUGUGCGGAAGGGAUAAGUGCUGAAAGCAUCUAAGCAUGAAGCCCCCUCAAGAUGAGAUUUCCCAUAGCGUAAGCUAGUAAGAUCCCUGAAAGAUGAUCAGGUUGAUAGGUUCGAGGUGGAAGCAUGGUGACAUGUGGAGCUGACGAAUACUAAUAGAUCGAGGACUUAACCACA
Molecule: ribosomal RNA, 733 nt
Filed under: Bacillus thuringiensis
Lineage: Bacteria; Bacillati; Bacillota; Bacilli; Caryophanales; Bacillaceae
Description: bacterial LSU rRNA
Rfam family: Bacterial large subunit ribosomal RNA
Source: RNAcentral